AUCCUGGCUCAGGAUGAACGCUAGCGGCAGGCUUAACACAUGCAAGUCGAGGGGUAACGGGGUGCUUGCACCGCCGACGACCGGCGCACGGGUGCGUAACGCGUAUACAAUCUACCUUGUAGAGGGGAAUAGCCCAGAGAAAUUUGGAUUAAUGCCCCAUAGUAUUAUUAGAUAGCAUUAUUUGAUAAUUAAACAUUUAUGGCUACAAGAUGAGUAUGCGUUCUAUUAGUUAGUAGGUAAGGUAACGGCUUACCUAGACUUCGAUAGAUAGGGGUCCUGAGAGGGAGAUCCCCCACACUGGUACUGAGACACGGACCAGACUCCUACGGGAGGCAGCAGUGAGGAAUAUUGGACAAUGGGCGAGAGCCUGAUCCAGCCAUGCCGCGUGCAGGAAGACGGCCCUAUGGGUUGUAAACUGCUUUUAUAGAGGAAGAAACACUCCUACGUGUAGGAGCUGACGGUA
This 463-nucleotide ribosomal RNA is filed under the name Gillisia sp. R-39057. RNAcentral describes it as "bacterial SSU rRNA". It matches the Rfam family "Bacterial small subunit ribosomal RNA", at positions 16 to 477 of the family's 1533-position model. The record is from RNAcentral. Lineage: Bacteria; Pseudomonadati; Bacteroidota; Flavobacteriia; Flavobacteriales; Flavobacteriaceae.